CGGCUGCGCGAAGUGCGCCGUCGCCAUGGUAACCGCGGAAGCCUGGGCCCUGGGUGAGCCUCUCGAUGUUCCCGUUGUGUAGUCGGGAAGUUUCUGGACCUCCCGGAACCAUUUAUACACUGUUGCUGUCUUCAGACGCACCAGAAGAGGGCACCAGAUCCCAUUACAGAUGGUUGUGAGCCACCAUGUGGUUGCUGGGAAUUGAACUCAGGACCUCUGGAAGAGCAGUCGGUGCUCUUAACCACUGAGCCAUCUCUCCAGCCCGGCCUUCACUUUUCUCGAAAGGUGGCUCUCUCCACUGUGUGAGGAGAGCCAGGACGAAAAGGUAUUUUUGGAGUUAAUGGAGCCAGAAGAAGCUCUAGAAUCAGAGAGUUCAGAAAAGUCACUAUUUUCCUCACGGCAUGACUAUGAAGAAUCCCAAGAAGCAGAUGAAACAGGCACCGAGAACCCCCUCCUGCAGCCGACUCUCACCGGGGACGUA
This 481-nucleotide long non-coding RNA is filed under the name Rattus norvegicus (Norway rat). Its description in RNAcentral is "long non-coding RNA NONRATT008386". The record is from RNAcentral. Lineage: Eukaryota; Metazoa; Chordata; Mammalia; Rodentia; Muridae.